AUAAGGAUCAAUUUUAGCGGUUGCCUCGGGCCAACGGAACACGGUGAAACUCCGUGGCGGUCCCGCCGCUGUAACCGGAAAUAUCUGUUUUGGGAUAAUGCCACUGUGAAAACGGGAAGGCGGUCAAACCAGGUUUAAUGCCGGAAGCCAGAAGACGAUCCGGGCAAUUUAAAAAGUG
RNAcentral lists this non-coding RNA (178 nucleotides) under Desulfobacula sp. Lineage: Bacteria; Pseudomonadati; Thermodesulfobacteriota; Desulfobacteria; Desulfobacterales; Desulfobacteraceae. The record is from RNAcentral.